RNAcentral lists this ribosomal RNA (292 nucleotides) under uncultured bacterium. Its description in RNAcentral is "partial 16S ribosomal RNA". It matches the Rfam family "Bacterial small subunit ribosomal RNA", at positions 505 to 796 of the family's 1533-position model. The record is from RNAcentral.
GUGCCAGCAGCCGCGGUAAUACAGAGGGUGCGAGCGUUGUCCGGAAUCACUGGGCGUAAAGGGCGUGUAGGCGGCUGGAUAAGCCGCGUGUGAAAUCCCGGGGCUCAACCCCGGAACGGCACGCGGGACUGUUCGGCUAGAGAAUGGUAGAGGCAAGUGGAAUUCCUGGUGUAGCGGUGGAAUGCGUAGAGAUCAGGAAGAACACCGGUGGCGAAGGCGGCUUGCUGGGCCAUUUCUGACGCUGAGGCGCGAAAGCGUGGGGAGCAAACAGGAUUAGAAACCCCGGUAGUCC